CGAGUGAAGCGGCAAAAGCUCAAAUUUGAAAUCUGGCACCUUCGGUGUCCGAGUUGUAAUUUGAAGAAGGUAACUUUGGAGUUGGCUCUUGUCUAUGUUCCUUGGAACAGGACGUCACAGAGGGUGAGAAUCCCGUGCGAUGAGAUGCCCAAUUCUAUGUAAAGUGCUUUCGAAGAGUCGAGUUGUUUGGGAAUGCAGCUCUAAGUGGGUGGUAAAUUCCAUCUAAAGCUAAAUAUUGGCGAGAGACCGAUAGCGAACAAGUACAGUGAUGGAAAGAUGAAAAGAACUUUGAAAAGAGAGUGAAAAAGUACGUGAAAUUGUUGAAAGGGAAGGGCUUGAGAUCAGACUUGGUAUUUUGCGAUCCUUUCCUUCUUGGUUGGGUUCCUCGCAGCUUACUGGGCCAGCAUCGGUUUGGAUGGUAGGAUAAUGACUAAGGAAUGUGGCUCUACUUCGGUGGAGUGUUAUAGCCUUGGUUGAUACUGCCUGUCUAGACCGAGGACUGCGUCUUUUGACUAGGAUGUUGGCAUAAUGAUCUUAAGC
RNAcentral lists this ribosomal RNA (540 nucleotides) under Debaryomyces hansenii. Its description in RNAcentral is "eukaryotic LSU rRNA". It matches the Rfam family "Eukaryotic large subunit ribosomal RNA", at positions 90 to 645 of the family's 3401-position model. Lineage: Eukaryota; Fungi; Ascomycota; Pichiomycetes; Serinales; Debaryomycetaceae. The record is from RNAcentral.